This 1223-nucleotide long non-coding RNA is filed under the name Parus major (Great Tit). RNAcentral's name for it is "lncRNA (ENSPMJG00000009454.1)". Lineage: Eukaryota; Metazoa; Chordata; Aves; Passeriformes; Paridae. The record is from RNAcentral.
GGGCAGAAGGAGCUCUGAAGUGGACCUCUCGAUUAAUUCUUUAGCAAAGGCUGCAGAAAGCCAGGAGAGCCUCAAGAGGGGAGGGGAUAAUGUAUCCGUGACGUGUCCUCCCUCGCAGCGCCCUCCGAGGGACCCAAAUCCAGAGGAGCCGGCGCGGAGCUUCAAUCAGCGCUUGCGAGGGGACGGGAGGCCGGCCCGGGGGGAGCCGGGGGCGGGGGCCGCAGAGCCCCUUACCCCUCUCUGCCCUUCUCGGUCACCCCGAGGGGGCUCUUUGUCCCACCCCACCCGGGUCACAGCUGCCACGGGGGGUGCGACACGCGUGGGGCUCCUUCCCCAGCCCCCAAAAGCCACCCGAGACUUUCCCCCGUUGUUGUGGCGCUGGGUAAAGCGCACCUGGGCACUCACACAGGUACGCGCGGCCUCAGCGCACAUUUACACCCUGUAAAUAAUCGCUAUUUUACGUAUUACACGUGUAUACACAAAAAUAUCUACACGGGGCCCCCGGUAGAUGCGGAGGAGGGGGCAGAGCUCCGUGGGAGCCGCUGAGCCGGGCUUAACCCCGGAGCUGCCGGAUCAGCGCUCGGCGGAGGAUGGAGCGGGCACCUCUGCAGAGCUCGUCACUAAAGCCGUGCCUGGGCUCUUUCCUCAUGUCCUGAGUGAGGGAAUUAAACCGGGACUGAGUCACUAAAGCCGUGCCUGGGCUCCUUCCUCAUGUCCCGAGUGAGGGAAUUAAACCGGGACUGAGCCGAGCCCGGCCGGGUUUAACCCGACGGGGGCUGCUUUUGGGGACAAAGCCCCACGAUGCGUCCCGGACACGCGUGGGGAUUAAAGCAGCAAGGAAAGAGGGAAGGGAGGGACAGGCAGAGCCCGGCGAGACGCGGCUCCACACCCAGGGCUCCGAGGGGGAUGGGACACACAAUGCACCGGUCCUUAAUAUUAAUCCCGCCAGAGGCCCGGCCGGCGGGCGAGUGUGUUUGCUUAAGCUCGCCCGGCCCUCUGUAAUUAUCCCAUUAGAGCAGAAAGAGCCCGGGCCGGGCACGGCGAGGGAAAGGCCGCGCUCUUUAACCCCGCGGCCGGGCCAGCGCAGCCCCCGGGAUGGCGAGCGGGGGCACCGCGGCACCUCCGGCUGCAGCAGCGGGCGAGAGGAGCCCCGAAGGGUUCCGGGACAAACCCGCACGGCCUCUGCUCCCAAAUCCAUCCCCUCCUGCCUCAGUUUUUACUGA